CUUGUACACACCGCCCGUCACACCACGGAAGCAAGCAACACCCGAAGCCUGUGGCCUAACCCGCAAGGGGGGGAGCAGUCGAAGGUGGGGCUCGUGACUGGGGUG
This 105-nucleotide ribosomal RNA is filed under the name uncultured bacterium. RNAcentral describes it as "partial 16S ribosomal RNA". It matches the Rfam family "Bacterial small subunit ribosomal RNA", at positions 1380 to 1482 of the family's 1533-position model. The record is from RNAcentral.